CGUACGAUACGAGUUUGAUCCUGGUUCAGAACGAACGCUGGCGGCAGGCCUAACACAUGCAAGUCGAGCGAACCCUUCGGGGUUAGCGGCGGACGGGUUAGUAACGCGUGGGAAUAUACCCUUUGGUACGGAAUAGCCUCGGGAAACUGAGAGUAAUACCGUAUGUGCCCUUCGGGGGAAAGAUUUAUCGCCAAAGGAUUAGCCCGCGUUGGAUUAGAUAGUUGGUGGGGCAAUGGCCUACCAAGUCUACGAUCCAUAGCUGGUUUGAGAGGAUGAUCAGCAACACUGGGACUGAGACACGGCCCAGACUCCUACGGGAGGCAGCAGUGGGGAAUCUUAGACAAUGGGCGCAAGCCUGAUCUAGCCAUGCCGCGUGGACGAUGAAGGCCUUAGGGUUGUAAAGUCCUUUCAGAUGGGAAGAUAAUGACGGUACCAUCAGAAGAAGCCCCGGCUAACUCCGUG
RNAcentral lists this ribosomal RNA (462 nucleotides) under uncultured bacterium. RNAcentral describes it as "bacterial SSU rRNA". It matches the Rfam family "Bacterial small subunit ribosomal RNA", at positions 1 to 507 of the family's 1533-position model. The record is from RNAcentral.